Molecule: unclassified non-coding RNA, 348 nt
Filed under: soil metagenome
Description: partial contains 5.8S ribosomal RNA, internal transcribed spacer 2, and large subunit ribosomal RNA
Rfam family: 5.8S ribosomal RNA (bases 1-120)
Source: RNAcentral
GAUGAAGAACGCAGCGAAAUGCGAUAAGUAAUGUGAAUUGCAGAAUUCAGUGAAUCAUCGAGUCUUUGAACGCACAUUGCGCCCCCUGGUAUUCCGGGGGGCAUGCCUGUCCGAGCGUCAUUGCUGCCCUCAAGCACGGCUUGUGUGUUGGGCCCCCGUCCCCGGUUUCCCCCGGGGACGGGCCCGAAAGGCAGCGGCGGCACCGCGUCCGGUCCUCGAGCGUAUGGGGCUUUGUCACCCGCUCUGUAGGCCCGGCCGGCGCCAGCCGACACCCAACUUUAUUUCUAAGGUUGACCUCGGAUCAGGUAGGGAUACCCGCUGAACUUAAGCAUAUAAAUAAGCGGAGGA